This 253-nucleotide ribosomal RNA is filed under the name uncultured bacterium. RNAcentral describes it as "partial 16S ribosomal RNA". It matches the Rfam family "Bacterial small subunit ribosomal RNA", at positions 524 to 776 of the family's 1533-position model. The record is from RNAcentral.
UACGGGGGGGGUAAGCGUUGUUCGGAAUUACUGGGCGUAAAGGGCUCUUAGGCGGCCAACUAAGUCGGACGUGAAAUCCCUCAGCUUAACUGGGGAACUGCUUCCGAUACUGGAUGGCUUGAAUCCGGGAGAGGGAUGUGGAAUUCCAGGUGUAGCGGUGAAAUGCGUAGAUAUCUGGAGGAACACCGGUGGCGAAGGCGGCAUCCUGGACCGGUAUUGACGCUGAGGCGCGAAAGCUAGGGGAGCAAACGGG